GCUGAGAGUGAAUGAAGAGAGUGAGGUUAGGGGCGGACAACGAAGAUGGCAACAGCAAGUUGUAAUUCAAACAUGAACUGUAUAGCGCCAGGCUGUUUCAAUUGGCCCCCAAAAAUCCCUCUGUAAACUACCAUCGGCUUCCCAUGGACCUACAACUUUAGAAGAAGUGGCUCCAUGUCCUGAAAAGGAAGGACAUGCCAGCUUGACCUAGCAGGAUCUGCAGACAGCACUUUGCGGAGGCAGACUUCGCAAUGAAGGGCACUUUCGAUGAGGAAACUGGGAGUUUCCGAAUGGAAAGGAGUCAUAGGCCUACGUUGAAGCCCUCUGCUUGCGCCUCCAUUUGAAAUUGAGGGUUAUGGUGUAGGGGUUACCAACCGACCAUCAUGAACAUCACUGAUUUUUGGAGUCAAGCAAAAGCAACUGAAUGGAGGAGGCGACGAUGACAUCUUCAUCCCUGAAAAUGUUUUCAUCCUGGAGGAGACUGUGCAGAAGGCAGAGGAAAGAACAGUUAGUACAGCAUGCCAAACUGACUCCUGGGUGCCAGUGUUCCCGUGCUGCGGUGGAGAAGAGGUCCACCGGGACCAUCACUAAAGAGCUCAGGGCCCAGCUAGAUUGCUCUCACAACCAUCAGUAUACAACCGGGUCCUGCCCCUAUACGCCACAGAUGGAGCUGAAUGAGAGUGAGAUCUGUGAAGACCAUAACUCGCUGUAUGAACCUGAGAGCUCAGAAUCACAAUCAUCACAGUCCGAGCCAAGAUAUACUAUCAAUCACUUUGGGGGAGCAGGAUGUUGUUCCGAAAAUGGAGAAAGAGCAGGCCAUUCAACAGCGAAUUCAAAGAUACACCCAUCCAUAAAGGGAAUCGGAGUGGAAUUGUUUUAAUGCAGUUUUUUAAAACUCGUUUCAAUGGAUGUGCUACCUUGUCCCAGUUCUGCUGUUUCCAUUUUCUCUCUCUCUCAACCUAUGAAUGCUCAGCUACAAAAAGACAACUGACAUUUGCUCCUGAGGUGUUGAACUGUUGCACCCUCUAUAACCACAGUGGUUAUUAUUUUGAUGUAAAAAGGGCUUUUGUAAAAAUACAUUUGAUUGAUUGUUUGCUGUGCUGGAUGUUGUGUAUUCACUAACUCUCUGAGUGAUGGUCCAUUUUUAGUGUCUAACAUAUUUGUGUGUAUUUAAUCUCCAUCUUAACUUUUAAAGUGGCAAUCAGCAGUAGAAACAAUAAAGUGUCUCCCUGCUCCUCUUUCAGUAAAAAGCUGAGGGAUGGGGCUGGAGAAAUGUAACCACUCUCAAAUUCAUAGACCGAGAGAUAGAUGCAAGGACUGACCAUCCAUGAAAUCAAAAUUGUAAUCAUGUUUCUAUGAUCGUUUUCCACGACCAUGUACCCAGUUCGCUUUGGAUAAAGGCGUCUGCUAAAUGGCAUAUAUUAUUAAAGUCUACUUUGACUCUGCCAACUAGCUGCCCAGUGGUUACCAUUCCUUUCCAAUAGAUGGCAGCCAAAGCUAGUUCGAGUCACUACUCUAGCACAGGGACAUGGGAUUAAUGCUCACUGAAAGUAGUUUUAUUUUUUAUUGAACAUUUAUUUAACUAGGCAAGUCAGUUAAGAACAAAUUCUGGACGGUGAGAGUUACUCUGCGCAAACCUCCACCCUCCAAAAAACCCAACAUGAACUCUGACAUUGUGGCUACCUUCUCCUUACUCAUCAACUCCAGGUCUGACGCCAUUGAGAAAAUGGUAGGCGCGAACACCAUGGUUAUCGAAGGCUUGAAAAAGACUGGAGUUUGCAUAUGGUGAAAUCAAGGACGUGAAAAGGAGUGGCAGAAGUUGAAAAAAUAAGUUGUGGAAAAGAAUAACAAUGUCUACCAUAGACGUCUCACUGAUCUGGAACAAUACACAAGAAGAGCCUGAGACUCUACGGCGUGCCAGAGAUGGAGAAUGGGGAUGUGCGACGAGAGGCUAUCCGCAUCUGCCAAGAAGUUAUGCCUGCAGAGACUAACAAAGUUGGUGAUACCAUUAAUGUUGCGCAUCGCCUCAGCAAGAAGCAACAGCAAAACGAUUCAAGACCAAGCGAUAUCAUCAUCUUCACUGCCAGAUUCUACAGGGAUGCUGUCUGGAAAGCUGCUAGGAAGAACACCUUCCUUCAGAGCCGUGUGGCAGGGCUGAAAUGCAGUGGAAAUGUUUUUGGGGGAUUCAGUUCAUUUGCAUGGCAAAGAGGGACUUUGCAAUUAAUUGCAAUUCAUCUGAUAACUGUUCAUAACAUAACAUCAUAUACUGUUAUAACAUCAUAACAGUUUAUGCAAAUUGCCAUCAUACAAACUGAGGCAUCAGACUUUGUGAAAAUUCAUAUUUGUGUCAUUCUCAAAACUUUUGUCCACGACUGUAUACCUUAGCCGCGCUUCCCUUCCUUCCUUUUUCUACAACCGUAUUUAAUGUUUAUUUAUUUUCCCUUUUGUACUUGAACUAUUUGUACAUUGUUAUAGCACUGUACAUAGCAAUAAUAUGACAUUUCAAAUGUCUCUAUUCCUUUGAAACUUUUGUGAGUGUAAUGUUGACUGAUCAUUUUUGAUUGUUUGUUUAUUAUCUAUUUAACUUACUUUGGCAAUGUAAACAUACACUACAUGAACAAAAGUAAGUGGACACCUUCUCGUAGAACAUUUAAUUCCAAAUUCAUGGGCAUUAAAAUUGAGUUUGUCCCCCCCUU
Molecule: long non-coding RNA, 2696 nt
Organism: Oncorhynchus nerka (sockeye salmon)
Lineage: Eukaryota; Metazoa; Chordata; Actinopteri; Salmoniformes; Salmonidae
Exons: 3
Source: RefSeq, a predicted model, not a curated record